AUGCACGCUGGCGGCGUGCCUAAUACCUGCAAGUCGCGCGAACAGACGAGGAGCUUGCUCCUCUGACGUUAGCGGCGGACGGGUGAGUAACACGUGGAUAACCUACCUAUAAGACUGGGAUAACUUCGGGAAACCGGAGCUAAUACCGGAUAAUAUAUUGAACCGCAUGGUUCAAUAGUGAAAGACGGUUUUGCUGUCACUUAUAGAUGGAUCCGCGCCGCAUUAGCUAGUUGGUAAGGUAACGGCUUACCAAGGCAACGAUGCGUAGCCGACCUGAGAGGGUGAUCGGCCACACUGGAACUGAGACACGGUCCAGACUCCUACGGGAGGCAGCAGUAGGGAAUCUUCCGCAAUGGGCGAAAGCCUGACGGAGCAACGCCGCGUGAGUGAUCAAGGUCUUCGGAUCGUAAAACUCUGUUAUUAGGGAAGAACAAAUGUGUAAGUAACUAUGCACGUCUUGACGGUACCUAAUCAGAAAGCCACGGCUAACUACGUG
Molecule: ribosomal RNA, 496 nt
Filed under: uncultured bacterium
Lineage: Bacteria
Description: partial 16S ribosomal RNA
Rfam family: Bacterial small subunit ribosomal RNA
Source: RNAcentral